This is a long non-coding RNA of Diospyros lotus (date-plum), 2569 nucleotides long. RefSeq lists it as uncharacterized. The transcript is spliced from 2 exons. The record is from RefSeq and is a predicted model, not a curated record. Lineage: Eukaryota; Viridiplantae; Streptophyta; Magnoliopsida; Ericales; Ebenaceae.
GGCUACUUUGUUAAAUGAGUUAAAUUUUGUAGGAACAGCAAAGGUAGGGGGACAAUGUAUGUAUAUAUAUAUAUUUUUCCUUUUCCUUGCACAUUUGGUUGGUUAUGUGACGCAGGAUGUUUUUCCAGCACCACAGAAAUGUUUUUAAUUCAAGUUUGUCUGGGAAAAUUUGGUUGGGGAUAACUAAGCUGAUACUUAACAAUUUUAGGAUAGGUUAUGGCUUAUAAAGCUAUAUGUUGAGUUUGAUAAGAAGUAAAGGUCACAAACCAUAAGUAAGCAUUGUGGUUACAUAGGAAACAUAAAGCAAAAUAACAGAGCUAGAGGUUUACCUUUCUGUAAUAGAUUCUAAAAGAGCUCACAUGCAUGUCUUCUAAUAAGCAAAAUUGCUAUAACCUGAAGCAGUGGUGCUCCAAUGGUUGGUUGGCUUUCUCCAAGUAAAUGGUUUUAGCAAAUCACAGGAUUGCAACAUGGAAGAUUUUUCCUUCAAUAACUUCACAAAAACCUGUCUUUGUUGAGGGCAGAGAUUUACCUAAUGAGUUGCCUUUUUUUUUUUUUUUUAUGAUAAAUGCCUAAUGAGUUGCUUGUUCGAUCAUCUCAAUUGAUUGUUCUUCAGCCAUUGAUGAUACAUAUGAAAUAAAGUAAAUAAUCACUCAAUUGAGAGAUGCAGGUUCCAUUUUUUAAGUUGGAAAGCUUUGUGGGAUGACCCCAUGAUAUAGACCUAGUUCAGCCAAUUUGAACUUGAAAGAAGGAAAUGAAAAGAAGAGAGAAGCUUGUGCCUUAGAUUCCAAACUUGGUCAAAUAUCAAAUGUGUCUUAGCUGCCAAACUUUUUGGAUGUGCUUCUAUCCGUUGAAUGCAUAGUUUGAUACCAAAUCACUGUGGCUAAGUCUCCAAUCUGUGUUUGGAGUGUGGAAUCACAAGAAGAUUCUGGAACAUAGUAAAUACUGAAGUAUAACCACGCUAUUCAAUUCUUCUAUAAAUUAGAUGAACAUAAAAUUACAGAGAAGUGACAAAGAAGCUUUAGGAUGAAUUUCUGAAGUAUCCACUUUUGUCUUCUCUUUGAUAUUGUAAAAGUAAUACUUGGACUUGCUUUUACAGAUAAAAGUAGUGCAAAUGAUGUAGGAAUCUGUUAGGUGCAGAAAUCUGCUGGAAGCAUGAAUGCGGCAGUGCAUGGCUGCCUUGAGCCCUCUUUUCUUGAAUGAUGGAAAUUUUAAAAAAUUGUUCGAUCAUUCAGCAUGAAUCUAUACAAAGAUUGGAGACCAAGAAUUCAUGUAGCCAACUUCACUUAAUGAGACUCAGUUUGUGAUGAUGAUGAUCAAUGUGGUUUCCUCACCUUAUAACUCACCAGAAGUCAAACAAUCUCUGCCAAAUGUAUGUUCCUUUCCACUGAUAAUUCACCAUUACCACCAACCCCUGGUCCCCUUGUGAACGUUUACCUUCAACUCCAACUGUGUACUAUACUAGAUCCUUCGAUUUUGCCACUCUGCCAUAAACACCUGUAUUGCCGUCAGUAAUUACACGUACAUUUUCUCACAUGAAGGUUCACAUUCGUCUCCAUGGUUCAGAGGAGAUGGUUCAUGUGCAGGUGUUAGAUAUUAAGUGCUUGUUGUGGAGUAGUUUUUUUUAGCAAAAGUGCAUGCUUUUGUAAAAGUUCAAAGAAACCUUGUGUGGAGAAAGUUAAUUCCUCUUAAUUGAUUCAUCAAAGGACUGUACAUGCUGUAUAUAUAUACAGAAAAGGAAAACUAAUCAACUAAUCACAUCUCUAAACUAGGAAACACCUAAGAAUCUGCAAUCAAUCAACCUAAUCAAAGAGAUUUAGAAGCUGCCUAUUCUCCUAACUGGACAUUGCCUAAAAUAGGAGGAUCUUGGGAUAUUUUGACAGAAAGGAAAUUAACUAUUUCGAGAAACUAAGGCCUAGAAUAAUUCUACACCUUGGAUGGAUAUAAUAAAGGUAAAUUGCAUACAUACUGUGGUUUGACAUGUCUUCAGUGACACCCCUUGUACUUUAAAAUUGGCCUUGGAAGCCCUUGUGCUUUUGAUUCUUUGGCAAACACACCCCAUGUCAAUUUUUAGGGCUAAUACCAUCUAUUACAAGCCCAAAACAGAGGUAGUUUUAUACUGUAUAUAUCAAUUAAAUUAUUUACAUAAAGACUAAAUUUAAAUAAAAUAAAAAAGAAACAGAAAAAUAAAAAAGAAUUGCCAGUUGAACCAUUCCAGUCGGCAGUGAACUUGUUGCUGGUGGAUGACCCAUCAGCUAUGGGUUCCAAAGAACCAAUGCACAGAGAGAGAGGAAGAAGAAGAAGAAUCCCUCUUUGGUUCGAUUGAACCCAUCUUCGGAACAAGCCCAUUUGGUUUGAUCUUCGAACCUAGAUCAAAGAAGAAGAAGAAGAAGACGAAGAUGAACUAGAAUGAACACACGAAAAUGAAGAUGAACCAAGAUCAAUUCGUCGAAUCAAUCUAGAUUCGUUCCAAUCGUCGAAUCAAUUUGGGUUUGUUCCAGAUGUAGAACGAACCCAGAUCAGUUCACUUUUCACAAUAUUCAAACCCAGAUUGAAGAAGAAAAAAAAAAGA